RNAcentral lists this ribosomal RNA (231 nucleotides) under uncultured bacterium. RNAcentral's name for it is "partial 16S ribosomal RNA". It matches the Rfam family "Bacterial small subunit ribosomal RNA", at positions 103 to 334 of the family's 1533-position model. The record is from RNAcentral.
CGGGUGAGUAACGCGUGGAUAACCUGCCUCACACUGGGGGAUAACAGUUAGAAAUGACUGCUAAUACCGCAUGAGCGCACAGUACCGCAUGGUACGGUGUGAAAAACUCCGGUGGUGUGAGAUGGAUCCGCGUCUGAUUUGCCAGUUGGCGGGGUAACGGCCCACCAAAGCGACGAUCAGUAGCCGACCUGAGAGGGUGACCGGCCACAUUGGGACUGAGACACGGCCCAA